AUUGAACGCUGGCGGCAUGCCUAACACAUGCAAGUCGAACGGUAACGGGCCUCUUGGUGCCGGCGAGUGGGGAGCGGGGGAGUGAUACACCUGAACGUGCCCUAGCGUGGGGGAUAACAAGUCGGAAGCUUUGCGAAUAUCGCACACGAUCUACGGAUGAGAGCAGGGGAGCGCAUGGGCUUGCGCGGACGGAGCGGCCGAGGGCAGAUUAGGUAGUUGGUGGGGUAAAAGCUUACCAAGCCGACGAUCUGUAUCUGGUGUGAGAGGAUGAGCAGCCACACUGGGACUGAGACACGGCCCAGACUCCUACGGGAGGCAGCAGUGGGGAAUUUUGGACAAUGGGCGCAAGCCUGAUCCAGCCAUGCCGCGUGUAGGAUGAAGGCCUUCGGGUUGUAAAGUGCGUUUGUACGGAACGAAAAGCCUUCUUUUAAUACAGGGGGGUCAUGACGGUACCGUAAGAAUAAGCACCGGCUAACUACGUG
RNAcentral lists this ribosomal RNA (482 nucleotides) under uncultured bacterium. Its description in RNAcentral is "partial 16S ribosomal RNA". It matches the Rfam family "Bacterial small subunit ribosomal RNA", at positions 29 to 507 of the family's 1533-position model. The record is from RNAcentral.